Long non-coding RNA from Apis florea (little honeybee), 220 nucleotides. Lineage: Eukaryota; Metazoa; Arthropoda; Insecta; Hymenoptera; Apidae. The record is from RefSeq and is a predicted model, not a curated record.
GCGAAGCAAAAUACAAAAGGAUACUAAUUGGUACUAGGAAAUAUAUUUAUUAUCGAGUUUUAUUAUUGUACAUGUUGCUCUUAUGCGAUUAAACGAGGAUGCCGUACGGCAGAAAUUUGCGCAAACGUUUAACGAGCAUUAAAAUAAUUCCAUGCCUGAGAAUCGCGAUCACAGAUGCAGCGCGACGAUUAAAUUUAUCACCUCUAUUAUUACGAAUAAA